ACUCUUAACAAAUUUGUUAUCAGUAUUUGAACUCUAAUUUCAAUUUGAACUUCAACUACACGCCACAAUUAUUUAUGUUUUACGUAAAAACAUUUCGGUAUGUCGCCCGUUUAUAGUUACGAUUAAGACAGUACAGAUGUGAGUGUGGCGUCCUCCAUGAAUGCUAUCGCACUAAAAAAUAUGUACCUAUAGAAAUGAAAUGACUUGAAGUUU
Molecule: non-coding RNA, 213 nt
Organism: Cinara cedri
Lineage: Eukaryota; Metazoa; Arthropoda; Insecta; Hemiptera; Aphididae
Source: the annotation of a GenBank genome assembly